GGUAUAAUUCCAAGAAGUGAAUGAGGACCAAUUUGCUUUGACUGUAGUCAUGUCGCCAAGAUUGAUCAGUGCAAAACAGUGCGACCAUGUUAUAAAGGCGAGUUAUGCAAUAUUGAAGAAUUUGAUUGGCUGGGAGAAUCCCAUUUCAAACUUGGCUGCGUGACUGCAACGUGUAGUGCCAUUGAACAUGGUCGUUCUGUUCCAAGAUGCAAGUCCUGCUGCAACGAUGAUUUCUGUAACACCAACUGCACGAUGGGACAUUCGGCUGCAAUCAUAGGUUAAGACAUGGAGGUAAAGUUUACAUUUAAAAUACACAUGCUUACACAUUUGCCGUUAAUGAUUCGA
Long non-coding RNA from Dreissena polymorpha, 345 nucleotides. RefSeq lists it as uncharacterized. The record is from RefSeq and is a predicted model, not a curated record. Lineage: Eukaryota; Metazoa; Mollusca; Bivalvia; Myida; Dreissenidae. The transcript has 3 exons.